Molecule: ribosomal RNA, 253 nt
Filed under: uncultured bacterium
Lineage: Bacteria
Description: partial 16S ribosomal RNA
Rfam family: Bacterial small subunit ribosomal RNA
Source: RNAcentral
UACGAAGGGGGCUAGCGUUGUUCGGCAUAACUGGGCGUAAAGCGCACGUGGGCGGAUUGUUAAGUCGGGGGUGAAAUCCCGGGGCUCAACCCCGGAACUGCCUUCGAUACUGGUAAUCUUGAGUCCGAGAGAGGUGAGUGGAAUUCCGAGUGUAGAGGUGAAAUUCGUAGAUAUUCGGAGGAACACCAGUGGCGAAGGCGGCUCACUGGCUCGGUACUGACGCUUAGGUGCGAAAGCGUGGGGAGCAAACAGG